This is a small nucleolar RNA of Peromyscus leucopus (white-footed mouse), 118 nucleotides long. RefSeq annotates it as small nucleolar RNA SNORA24. The record is from RefSeq and is a predicted model, not a curated record. Lineage: Eukaryota; Metazoa; Chordata; Mammalia; Rodentia; Cricetidae. The transcript has a single exon.
CUCCAUAUGUGAUUUUAAGGGAGAAUGGUUCCCUGGUCAUGGAAAAGCAUGUUCUUGUUGACUGGCAAACUGCCGCCGUUUAACUGAUAUUGGACUGGGACUUGUACAAGGAGAAUUC